This 253-nucleotide ribosomal RNA is filed under the name uncultured bacterium. RNAcentral's name for it is "partial 16S ribosomal RNA". It matches the Rfam family "Bacterial small subunit ribosomal RNA", at positions 524 to 776 of the family's 1533-position model. The record is from RNAcentral.
UACAGGGGGGGCAAGCGUUGUUCGGAAUUACUGGGCGUAAAGGGCUCGUAGGCGGCCAACUAAGUCAGACGUGAAAUCCCUCGGCUCAACCGGGGAACUGCGUCUGAUACUGGAUGGCUUGAAUUCGGGAGAGGGAUGCGGAAUUCCAGGUGUAGCGGUGAAAUGCGUAGAUAUCUGGAGGAACACCGGUGGCGAAGGCGGCAUCCUGGACCGAGAUUGACGCUGAUGCGCGAAAGCCAGGGGAGCAAACGGG